Molecule: ribosomal RNA, 383 nt
Filed under: uncultured eukaryote
Lineage: Eukaryota
Description: SSU rRNA
Rfam family: Eukaryotic small subunit ribosomal RNA
Source: RNAcentral
AGCUCCGCGAGCAUAUAUCAAUGUUGUUGCGGUUAAAAAGCUCGUAGUUGGAUCUCGUGCUUAGCCCCGGGUGCGCACUGUUGUGCGUCUACUCGGCGGCGGCACAAAAUUUAGUCAGUCGGGCAGCAGUGUCCUUUACUGGAUGCUGUUUGCUUACUGACGAGUUUACUUUGAACAAAUCAGAGUGCUCAAAACAAGCUUUCGCUUGUAUGUUUUUGCAUGGAAUAAUAGAAUAGGACUGUGGUUCUAUUUUGUUGGUUCAUGGGACCACGGUAAUGAUUAAAAGGAACAGACGGUGGCAUUCGUACUGCGACGUUAGAGGUGAAAUUCUUGGAUCGUCGCAAGACGGACUACUGCGAAGGCAUUUGUCAAGAAUGUUUUCA